GGAAAAGAUGUAAUAAAUACUGUCUGAGAGUGACUGAUAUAUUUGACAUCAGGACAUCUCUGACUACAUACAUGCUGAAAAUCAAACAUUUUUUACUGGAUUAAUUUAGAUAUUUUUUAAAGUAAAAGUCCAUAGAAGUGUUAUGAUUCAACUUCUUCCCAUGGUCUGAUGUUAAAAAAAUGAACAAAUAUCGAAUCGGGAGAUAGGUGUAU
This is a long non-coding RNA of Sebastes umbrosus (honeycomb rockfish), 212 nucleotides long. RefSeq lists it as uncharacterized. The transcript has 3 exons. The record is from RefSeq and is a predicted model, not a curated record. Lineage: Eukaryota; Metazoa; Chordata; Actinopteri; Perciformes; Sebastidae.